RNAcentral lists this unclassified non-coding RNA (294 nucleotides) under Sebacina sp. Its description in RNAcentral is "partial contains 5.8S ribosomal RNA, internal transcribed spacer 2, and large subunit ribosomal RNA". Lineage: Eukaryota; Fungi; Basidiomycota; Agaricomycetes; Sebacinales; Sebacinaceae. The record is from RNAcentral. RNAcentral also lists the same sequence under 1 other name.
AACGCACCUUGCACCCUUUGGCAUUCCGAAGGGUAUGCUCGUUUGAGUGUCAUUGUACUCUCACACUUCUGAUCUUUUGGGUCGGGAGCGGUGGACUUGGGUGUUGCUGCUUUACUGUGGCUCACCUCAAAUGCAUUAGUGCAACUCUUGGUUGGACAUAGUACGGCGUGAUAAGUAUCUUCGCCGGCACCUCGCAAGAGGGUGGCUGAUCAGGAGCUCUGUGCUUUCCAACUGUCUUCAGACAACAACUGACAACUUGACCUCAAAUCGAGUAGGACCACCCGCUGAACUUAA